AAUAGAUACCCUGGUAGUCCACGCCGUAAACGAUGAGUGCUAAGUGUUAGGGGGUUUCCGCCCCUUAGUGCUGCAGCUAACGCAUUAAGCACUCCGCCUGGGGAGUACGGUCGCAAGACUGAAACUCAAAGGAAUUGACGGGGGCCCGCACAAGCGGUGGAGCAUGUGGUUUAAUUCGAAGCAACGCGAAGAACCUUACCAGGUCUUGACAUCCCAUUGACCGCUAUGGAGACAUAGCUUUCCCUUCGGGGACAGUGGUGACAGGUGGUGCAUGGUUGUCGUCAGCUCGUGUCGUGAGAUGUUGGGUUAAGUCCCGCAACGAGCGCAACCCUUGUUCUUAGUUGCCAUCAUUUAGUUGGGCACUCUAAGGAGACUGCCGGUGACAAACCGGAGGAAGGUGGGGAUGACGUCAAAUCAUCAUGCCCCUUAUGACCUGGGCUACACACGUGCUACAAUGGACGGUACAAACGGUUGCCAACCCGCGAGGGGAGCUAAUCCGAUAAAACCGUUCUCAGUUCGGAUUGUAGGCUGCAACUCGCCUACA
RNAcentral lists this ribosomal RNA (544 nucleotides) under uncultured bacterium. RNAcentral describes it as "bacterial SSU rRNA". It matches the Rfam family "Bacterial small subunit ribosomal RNA", at positions 777 to 1320 of the family's 1533-position model. The record is from RNAcentral.